RNAcentral lists this microRNA precursor (297 nucleotides) under Oryza sativa (Asian cultivated rice). RNAcentral describes it as "miR812j stem-loop (osa-MIR812j)". Its record names the gene osa-MIR812j. The stretch from base 43 to 247 matches the Rfam family "MIR812 microRNA precursor family". The record is from miRBase by way of RNAcentral. Lineage: Eukaryota; Viridiplantae; Streptophyta; Magnoliopsida; Poales; Poaceae.
AGAGUGCAUCCUUGGUCUUGGAUAGUACUUCCUUUGUCCCAAAAUAAGCGUAGCCAUGAGUUUUCUUGUCCAACUUUAAUUGUUCGUCUUAUUUAAUUUUUUUUUGAAAAAACUAAAAAACACAAGUCACGCAUAAACUACUAUUCAUGUUUUAUAAUCUAAUAACAAUAAAAAUACUAAUCAUACAAAAAUUUCAAAUAAGACGGAUGAUUAAAGUUGGACACGGAAACUCAUGGCUGCGUUUAUUUUGUGACGGAGAGAGUACUAUUGGAAAGAUCAGCUAGUUGGAAAAUGCCA